UUUUCCCCUCUGCUUGGGGUGGGUGUCUCUCUAAGCUUUUAGGUGAAGACUGGGAAGGUAGGGUGUACGAAAGAGCGAGGGAUGUAGAUACAAUAUUGCGUGAUGACUAAUAUAUUUACUUUG
Caenorhabditis elegans is the source of this 123-nucleotide non-coding RNA. The record is from Ensembl. Lineage: Eukaryota; Metazoa; Nematoda; Chromadorea; Rhabditida; Rhabditidae.